CUUGAGUUAUAAACAUAAGAGGUCCAGCCUGCCCAGUGAUUAAAUUUAACGGCCGCGGUAUCCUAACCGUGCGAAGGUAGCGUAAUCACUUGUUCUUUAAAUGAGGACUAGUAUGAACGGCACCACGAAGGUUUUACUGUCUCCUUUUCCUAAUCAGUGAAACUAAUCUUCCCGUGAAGAAGCGGGAAUAAACGAAUAAGACGAGAAGACCCUAUGGAGCUUUAAACACAAUAACAAAUACUACUUUAAACAAAAAUUUCUUAAUGACUUACUCCCUGGUAUUAUGAUUAUUAGUUUUAGGUUGGGGUGACCGCGGAGAAAAACACAACCUCCACAUUGAAUGAUAAAAUUCUAAGCAAAGAAUUACAUUUCCACGCAUCAAUACAUUGACAUCAAUUGACCCA
Molecule: ribosomal RNA, 404 nt
Filed under: Atelopus flavescens (Cayenne stubfoot toad)
Lineage: Eukaryota; Metazoa; Chordata; Amphibia; Anura; Bufonidae
Also listed under: 1 other name
Description: partial 16S ribosomal RNA
Rfam family: Bacterial large subunit ribosomal RNA
Source: RNAcentral